AUUGAACGCUGGCGGCAUGCCUUACACAUGCAAGUCGAACGGCAGGCACGGGAGCAAUCCUGGUGGCGAGUGGCGAACGGGUGAGUAAUGUAUCGGGAACGUACCUUUCAGUGGGGGAUAACGUAGCGAAAGUUACGCUAAUACCGCAUAUUCUGUGAGCAGGAAAGCAGGGGAUCGCAAGACCUUGCGCUGAUUGAGCGGCCGAUAUCAGAUUAGCUAGUUGGUGAGGUAAAGGCUCACCAAGGCGACGAUCUGUAGCGGGUCUGAGAGGAUGAUCCGCCACACUGGAACUGAGACACGGUCCAGACUCCUACGGGAGGCAGCAGUGGGGAAUUUGGACAAUGGGCGCAAGCCUGAUCCAGCCAUGCCGCGUGAGUGAAGAAGGCCUGGUGUAAG
Molecule: ribosomal RNA, 396 nt
Filed under: uncultured bacterium
Lineage: Bacteria
Description: bacterial SSU rRNA
Rfam family: Bacterial small subunit ribosomal RNA
Source: RNAcentral